AGUGUAGGCGGCUACGUAAGUCGGAUGUGAAAGCCCUGGGCCCAACCUGGGAAUUGCAUUCGAUACUGCGUAGCUAGAGUUUGAUAGAGGUAAGUGGAAUUCCGGGUGUAGCGGUGAAAUGCGUAGAUAUCCGGAGGAACAUCAGUGGCGAAGGCGGCUUACUGGAUCAAAACUGACGCUGAGGCUCGAAAGCGUGGGGAGCAAACAGGAUUAGAUACCCUGGUAGUCC
RNAcentral lists this ribosomal RNA (229 nucleotides) under uncultured bacterium. RNAcentral describes it as "partial 16S ribosomal RNA". It matches the Rfam family "Bacterial small subunit ribosomal RNA", at positions 568 to 796 of the family's 1533-position model. The record is from RNAcentral.